Molecule: ribosomal RNA, 522 nt
Filed under: uncultured beta proteobacterium
Lineage: Bacteria; Pseudomonadati; Pseudomonadota; Betaproteobacteria
Description: SSU rRNA
Rfam family: Bacterial small subunit ribosomal RNA
Source: RNAcentral
GAGUUUGAUCCUGGCUCAGAUUGAACACUGGCGGCAUGCCUUACACAUGCAAAUCGAACGGCAGCACGGGAGCAAUCCUGGUGGCGAGUGGCGAACGGGUGAGUAAUAUAUCGGAACGUACCUUUCAGUGGGGGAUAACGUAGCGAAAGUUACGCUAAUACCGCAUAUUCUGUGAGCAGGAAAGCAGGGGACCUUCGGGCCUUGCGCUGAUUGAGCGGCCGAUAUCAGAUUAGCUAGUUGGUGAGGUAAAGGCUCACCAAGGCGACGAUCUGUAGCGGGUCUGAGAGGAUGAUCCGCCACACUGGAACUGAGACACGGUCCAGACUCCUACGGGAGGCAGCAGUGGGGAAUUUUGGACAAUGGGGGCAACCCUGAUCCAGCCAUGCCGCGUGAGUGAAGAAGGCCUUCGGGUUGUAAAGCUCUUUCGGCCGGGAAGAAAUCGCAUCAGCUAAUACCUGGUGUGGAUGACGGUACCGGAAUAAGAAGCACCGGCUAACUACGUGCCAGCAGCCGCGGUAAUAC